RNAcentral lists this long non-coding RNA (480 nucleotides) under Phoenix dactylifera (date palm). Its description in RNAcentral is "long non-coding RNA (PDAC_LNC004790)". The record is from RNAcentral. Lineage: Eukaryota; Viridiplantae; Streptophyta; Magnoliopsida; Arecales; Arecaceae.
GAUAUGGUGAAUUAUGUACGAAGAUUAUGAGUAGGUCAACAAGGAAUUAAUCACUUCUAGUAAGAGAAGAUAGCAUCCUAUUUAUUCUAAUCAUAUGGUAAUUCAGGAAGCCUUUGAUCAAAGCAGAAUGAAAAUUAGAAAGAGUUUCUAAAUAUUUCAUUAUUUGAAUUAUCAUUAAAAAAUUGAGAAAAAUAUGAAUAUGAAAUUGAGUUUGACAUAUAUUCAUACUCAUAUACAUAUUUGGGAUGCAGUUUGAUUAAAGGAUUGAAUUGCACGGUAACUUGCCACUGAAGGGUAUUUUUGGUAUUUCCACCAAAUUUCAUAUUUUCCGGAUAGACAUGACACGUUGCUAGACGUCAAUCUUGUCUUAUAGGUUUGAUCGAAUUAAAGAGUUUAAUUCGAUCACCAAUUAGAAAGGAUUCUAAUUGUUAAGUUCGGGUUCGCGCAGUUUGGACUUAAAUCGAUUAGAAGAGUUCUAAU